RNAcentral lists this ribosomal RNA (253 nucleotides) under uncultured bacterium. RNAcentral's name for it is "partial 16S ribosomal RNA". It matches the Rfam family "Bacterial small subunit ribosomal RNA", at positions 524 to 776 of the family's 1533-position model. The record is from RNAcentral.
UACGAAGGGGACUAGCGUUGUUCGGAUUUACUGGGCGUAAAGCGCGCGUAGGCGGAUCGCUAAGUCAGGGGUGAAAUCCCGGGGCUCAACCUCGGAACUGCCUUUGAUACUGCAAAUCUCGAGUCCGGAAGAGGUGAGUGGAAUUCCUAGUGUAGAGGUGAAAUUCGUAGAUAUUAGGAAGAACACCAGUGGCGAAGGCGGCUCACUGGUCCGGUACUGACGCUGAGGUGCGAAAGCGUGGGGAGCAAACAGG